CUUGUCUUAGAUACACAAACAAGUCUGUCCUUCAUGUCAGUAUUUCCUAACUCACUGUUAGAAAUUCAUCAGUUAAUGUGAAAAAUGACCUCGUACCAAUAGCCAUGGUUCUGUUCUCUCACUCUUCCUUGAUCACCUUCAGCUAGAACGAGUAUUUCAAUGUAAAGUAUUCAUUACUGUUAAGUGCAAAAGGAAAAAGAUGAGGUUGUAA
Molecule: long non-coding RNA, 211 nt
Filed under: Marmota monax (woodchuck)
Lineage: Eukaryota; Metazoa; Chordata; Mammalia; Rodentia; Sciuridae
Source: RNAcentral